AAUUACCCAAUCCUGACACAGGGAGGUAGUGACAAGAAAUAACAAAGAAGGACCAUACUGGUUUUUCUAUUGGAAUGAGCAGAAUUUAAAUCUCUUUUCGACUAUCAAUUGGAGGGCAAGUCUGGUGCCAGCAGCCGCGGUAAUUCCAGCUCCAAUAGCGUAUGUUAAAGUUGUUGCGGCUAAAAAGCUCGUAGUUGGAUUUCUAGAUGAGAGGAGUGGUCCACUCUAUGAGUGUGUAUCUACUUCCGCUCGUCUAUCCGCUCUGCAAACGUGUCUGCGCUUGACUGCGUGGCGCGGAGGUAGGGCCUUUUACUUUGAGGAAAUUAGAGUGUUCACGGCAGGCAAUCGCCUUGAAUAUAUUAGCAUGGAAUAAUAACAUAGGAUCUUGGUUCUAUUUUGUUGGUUUCUAGGGCUAAGAUAAUGAUUAAUAGGGACAAUUGGGGGCAUUCGUAUCGCGGUGUCAGAGGUGGAAUUCUUGGAUUACUGCGCGACGAACUACUGCGAAAGCAUUUGCCAAGGAUGUUUUCAUUGAUCAAGAACGAAAGUAAGGGGAUCGAAGACUAUUAGAUACCGUCGUAGUCUUUACCAUAAACUAUGCCAACUAGAGAUGGGGCGUCGUUCUUACAUGACUCGCUCCGCACCUUAUGAGAAAUCAAAGUCUUUGGGUUCC
Molecule: ribosomal RNA, 670 nt
Filed under: uncultured marine Syndiniales
Lineage: Eukaryota; Dinophyceae; Syndiniales
Description: SSU rRNA
Rfam family: Eukaryotic small subunit ribosomal RNA
Source: RNAcentral